CGGCGGACGGGUGAGUAACACGUGGGUAACCUACCUAUAAGACUGGGAUAACUUCGGGAAACCGGAGCUAAUACCGGAUAAUAUUUCGAACUGCAUGGUUCGAUAGUGAAAGAUGGUUUUGCUAUCACUUAUAGAUGGACCUGCGCCGUAUUAGCUAGUUGGUAAGGUAACGGCUUACCAAGGCGACGAUACGUAGCCGACCUGAGAGGGUGAUCGGCCACACUGGAACUGAGACACGGUCCAGACUCCUACGGGAGGCAGCAGUC
This 266-nucleotide ribosomal RNA is filed under the name uncultured Staphylococcus sp. RNAcentral describes it as "partial 16S ribosomal RNA". It matches the Rfam family "Bacterial small subunit ribosomal RNA", at positions 96 to 355 of the family's 1533-position model. The record is from RNAcentral. Lineage: Bacteria; Bacillati; Bacillota; Bacilli; Caryophanales; Staphylococcaceae.